Molecule: ribosomal RNA, 382 nt
Filed under: uncultured eukaryote
Lineage: Eukaryota
Description: partial 18S ribosomal RNA
Rfam family: Eukaryotic small subunit ribosomal RNA
Source: RNAcentral
CAAUAGCGUAUAUUAAAGUUGUUGCAGUUAGAAAGCUCGUAGUUGGAUUUCUGGUUGAAGCGACCGGUCGGGCGUUGAUUCGUCUGCACUGGAGUCGGUUUUGGCCAUCCUCUAGGAAAGUGCGUCUGGUAUUAAGUUAUCGGGCGUAUGAUCCUGGUCUUUUACUGUGAAAAAAUUAGAGUGUUUAAAGCAGGCCUUCGCCUUGAAUACAUUAGCAUGGAAUAAUAAGAUAGGACUUUGGUCUAUUUUGUUGGUUUGCAGACCGAAGUAAUGAUUAAUAGGGAUAGUUGGGGGUAUUUAUAUUCCGAUGUCAGAGGUGAAAUUCUUAGAUUUUCGGAAGAUAAACUUAUGCGAAAGCAUUUACCAAGGAUGUUUUCAUUAA